RNAcentral lists this ribosomal RNA (370 nucleotides) under uncultured organism. RNAcentral's name for it is "bacterial SSU rRNA". It matches the Rfam family "Bacterial small subunit ribosomal RNA", at positions 526 to 895 of the family's 1533-position model. The record is from RNAcentral.
CGUAGGGUGCGAGCGUUAAUCGGAAUUACUGGGCGUAAAGCGUGCGCAGGCGGUUUGUUAAGAUAGGCGUGAAAUCCCCGGGCUCAACCUGGGAACUGCGCUUAUGACUGGCAAGCUAGAGUACGGCAGAGGGGGUGGAAUUCCACGUGUAGCAGUGAAAUGCGUAGAGAUGUGGAGGAACACCAAUGGCGAAGGCAGCCCCCUGGGUCGAUACUGACGCUCAUGCACGAAAGCGUGGGUAGCAAACAGGAUUAGAUACCCUGGUAGUCCACGCCCUAAACGAUGUCAACUAGGUGUUGGGAGGGUAAAACCUUUUAGUACCGGAGCUAACGCGUGAAGUUGACCGCCUGGGGAGUACGGCCGCAAGGUU